Transfer RNA from Ipomoea nil (Japanese morning glory), 73 nucleotides. It matches the Rfam family "tRNA". From Rfam's summary of the family: Transfer RNA (tRNA) molecules are approximately 80 nucleotides in length. Their secondary structure includes four short double-helical elements and three loops (D, anti-codon, and T loops). The record is from Rfam. Lineage: Eukaryota; Viridiplantae; Streptophyta; Magnoliopsida; Solanales; Convolvulaceae.
GAUUCCAUGGCCCAAUGGAUAAGGUGCUGGUCUAUAAAACUAGAAAUUUUGCGUUCGAUCCCCAAUGGAGUCG